This is a long non-coding RNA of Stegodyphus dumicola, 767 nucleotides long. The record is from RefSeq and is a predicted model, not a curated record. Lineage: Eukaryota; Metazoa; Arthropoda; Arachnida; Araneae; Eresidae.
CAGCAUAAAAUCUCGACACCACGGUAAAUAGAUCGUAUAAUUUGGUAGCGCUGUUUUUGGACAAUUGUUUAAUGAAACACAAUUAUAAAAUGUUCAGGUUUCUAAAGGUGCUGCAAACAAGAAUGGCUAAUAAUCUGACCCAAUUACAGAUGAAAAUAUGUGAACUCUUUAAUUCAAAUAUGAGCCACUUUUUCUUAUUUGUUGCCAAUCUGGCGACUUUCUGAAGAUGUGGGAAAAAGUUUUAUCAAAGCCAUACGAACGAAGUUUUCAGAAGCUUCUAGAAGCCAACAUAUAAAUAACCAUAUACGGCUUUGAGAGCUCGGACGAGUCAAUUUUUAAUCAGCUGUGGGUUCAAAGACAGUUACUUGAACUGAGUUUUAGAGUUUACUCUGUGAGCGGUUUGAAAUUUACAGUAUUUCCCGGGCGCCAAGGAAGAAUUGCUUAAUAUUCGCAUUUUGCCUGAGCUCUUUGUUUUGCUGCGCGUCGUUAUUAUUUGUAAUAAAUUAUCAAUGUUUUUCCAAGGCAUCAAAGAUUGAUUAUUCAAAGAUAUACAGCCACGAAUAUGUACCUCACAAGAACAUGUAUCUGUUUGAUUUGUUAAAGCUGUUCUGGGCGAAAGAUAAUAAAAUUAUCUAAACAAAGUAUCUUGAAAUAAAACACGAAAAGUCCAAAUAAAUAUACCUGUAUUUUUCCGAAUAAAUAUUUUCAGUCUGAAUUAAUAUAAGUGUAUUAUAAAGAGUAUUACUUUAAAUUAAUUUCGAAUGUAA